AUUGAACGCUGGCGGCAGGCCUAACACAUGCAAGUCGAGCGGAUGAAGGGAGCUUGCUCCUGGAUUCAGCGGCGGACGGGUGAGUAAUGCCUAGGAAUCUGCUUGGUAGUGGGGGAUAACGUCCGGAAACGGGCGCUAAUACCGCAUACGUCCUGCGGGUGAAAGUGGGGGAUCUUCGGACCUCACGCUAUCAGAUGAGCCUAGGUCGGAUUAGCUAGUUGGUGGGGUAAAGGCCUACCAAGGCGACGAUCCGUAACUGGUCUGAGAGGAUGAUCAGUCACACUGGAGCUGAGACACGGUCCAGACUACUACGGGAGGCAGCAGUGGGGAAUAUUGGACAAUGGGCGAAAGCCUGAUCCAGCCAGGCCGCGUGUGUGAAGAAGGUCUUCGGAUUGUAAAGCACUUUAAGUUGGGAGAAAGGGCAGUAAGUUAAUACCUUGCUGUUGUGACGUUACCAACAGAAUAAGCACCGGCUAACUUCGUG
Molecule: ribosomal RNA, 484 nt
Filed under: uncultured bacterium
Lineage: Bacteria
Description: partial 16S ribosomal RNA
Rfam family: Bacterial small subunit ribosomal RNA
Source: RNAcentral